CUUUUUUUUCUUUUUCCUGAUAGGAAGUCUAGAGACAUAUGUGCAUUGCAACCAUAGACAUGAUAUAGCACUGCAAGUUGCUUUCCACCCUGCUUUCUGUCCUGACCUUCUGGAUCUUACUUAACAUGUGUUGAUCUUUCUUUUUUUUCCUUUUUUUCCCAAAAGGUGUAUUUUCCAGGCUUUGGACAUAGAGUGCUUGGAAAUAGCUUGAUUCGAUGGAAUCCCCUCCAAUGGAAUCAGCUGCCAUGGGACCAUCUUCAUGGCACCGACAUUUACCUAAGUCCUGCUGAAGAUAUCAAAAAAUAACCUAUUUACAAACACGAUUUUUAAAAUGGCAAUCCAACUCAACACCCAAAGA
Molecule: long non-coding RNA, 358 nt
Organism: Zalophus californianus (California sea lion)
Lineage: Eukaryota; Metazoa; Chordata; Mammalia; Carnivora; Otariidae
Source: Ensembl